CAACUCCUGAAGGAGCGGGCGGGCAAGCCACACCCAAAGAAGAACUAAACCAACAAUGAUACAAAUCCAAGUUGCAGUCCAGUCGGAUUCCGGGCUGCAAUCGGAACUAAGCGUCAACGGAAGCAUCCUGCAAAGGCCAACACCACGGGCAGCAUUGGGUGCGGAAACAACAUCCUACUCGAAAUCGUCAGCGACGUAGUCCGGGUCUUCCUCUGAAGCAACAAAACAAGGGUGAGUACGAAAGUACUCAAUAAGUCCAACCCCACCACGGAGGGGAUACAAGCAAGAGUAUGCAUAGGAUAUAACAAGGAUAAGUUUAAGGUUCAUUUGCAAUAAAGCUAGAUUUUUAACACAUGCAAGGGUUCAUUUUCAAAAGAGUUUUCGCAAAGCAUUUCUUUUAGUAACCAAAACAUUAAGUGGGGUUGAUCCUACACAAAGGAUCCAAAUUUUAUUGCUAUCGGACCCCCAUCUGCCAUAGCUCACGGCACAACUGCCGGACACUUCCAAAAUCCAACACACGCCACAAAAAUUAUCCAUCUCCAAGUGCUAGUUAUGUGACCAAGCCGUAACCUGUCCAAUGCCGUGGACACGGCUACUCGGAUAGGUUUUAACUCUGCAGAGGUUGUACAUUUUUCCCAUAAGUAGGUUACCGCAGCAUGAUCACCUUAGUGCCGGUGCGGAUCCUAACAAAGCCAUUACCCACCUUAGCUAAGCCUGACUAGUCAACACGGAAGUAACCAAAGGGUUAGUGACCUCCCAACGAGGUCUUAACCGGGACCUAAGUCACGAAGAUCUUACUCCUUUUCCAUGGACUCCCACUGCUCACUAGCUCUCCUGAAGACUAACAGUUUAGCUAGUGGGAUUUAUGCUAAGCCGUUGCCGCAUACAACGGUCGAGUGGUUGCACAAAGGUUGGGUUAGGCAAGAUGACACAUCAACUCGAUCCUUAAUUUGUGACAAGAUAUAUAUCUCCCAACCUUGCUCAACCACACAGGUUCGAGCCCAACUCAUUGGCAUUUCACACAAGAAACACCCAUCCAUCCCGUCUAAACAUUUCCUUCCUUUAUUUCCAAAAAAAACCAUUUUCCCUUUUUGAAACACUCACACCAUUAUUCUUUAACAAAGCACAUUGUAGUCGUAAUUGAAUUGAGUAACAAGAUCCUAAACAUUCUAGCAGUAAUUAUCAUCCAAACAGAACAAGUCAUAUUUAGAGAUAAUUAUGGGACAACAAGGAAUAAUCAUAACAAUCAAGGGGUGGCUAUCCAACCAUGUUUCAGUAGUAAAACAAUAUGCAAUUUUAUAAAACAUGCCAAUAGGUUGUGUUUGAAAAAUUAGGAUAAAUAUGCAUCAACGGGUGAGAUUGGACUUGCCUUUCUCAAAGCCUUCUGGAAGUUCCUGCUCGUGGU
This 1405-nucleotide long non-coding RNA is filed under the name Setaria viridis. RNAcentral describes it as "long non-coding RNA (SVIR_LNC001637)". The record is from RNAcentral. Lineage: Eukaryota; Viridiplantae; Streptophyta; Magnoliopsida; Poales; Poaceae.